UCUGGGCGUAAGCGUGCGCUAGGCGGUUUCGUAAGACAGAGGUGAAUCCCCGGGCUCACCUGGGAACUGCCUUUGUGACUGCGAGGCUAGAGUACGGCAGAGGGGGGUGGAAUUCCACGUGUAGCAGUGAAAUGCGUAGAGAUGUGGAGGAACACCGAUGGCGAAGGCAGCCCCCUGGGCCGAUACUGACGCUCAUGCACGAAAGCGUGGGGAGCAAACAGGAUUAGAUACCCUGGUAGUCCACGCCCUAAACGAUGUCAACUAGGUGUUGGGUGGGUAAAACCAUUUAGUACCGCAUCUAACGCGUGAAUUUGACCCCCUGGGGAGUACGGCCGCAAGGUUA
Molecule: ribosomal RNA, 343 nt
Filed under: uncultured bacterium
Lineage: Bacteria
Description: bacterial SSU rRNA
Rfam family: Bacterial small subunit ribosomal RNA
Source: RNAcentral